This 232-nucleotide long non-coding RNA is filed under the name Physcomitrium patens. RNAcentral's name for it is "long non-coding RNA (PPAT_LNC010435)". The record is from RNAcentral. Lineage: Eukaryota; Viridiplantae; Streptophyta; Bryopsida; Funariales; Funariaceae.
AGCUCUACUUUAACAAAGUACUCCACAUUGAUGUACCUCCUUUUUUAAGGACAAAUCCCACAAGGAACAGUCAAUACAUGUUGAGGAAGUCUAAGAUGCAAAAAAUUAUAUUUGUUUUAUAUUUUAAUUUUUAUUCUAUUUGAAAGUAACCAAUAAGUUCUUUCACCUAUCGAUAAUGUUCCAUAUUAAAUCCAAAAGCUCACUCUAUUAUUUGAUCUUUGUUGAGGCUUUU